AGCUUUGCUCAGUGGCAGUAUCGUAGCCAAUGAGGUUUAUCCAAGGCGCAAUUAUUGCUAAUUGAAAACUAAGAGAUGCUGGAGCACAUCAGAACAUUUGAAAACUCUAUGAAUCCUGAUAUUUUCUAUUUAAAAAGAG
Hyaena hyaena (striped hyena) is the source of this 139-nucleotide small nuclear RNA. RefSeq annotates it as U4 spliceosomal RNA. The record is from RefSeq and is a predicted model, not a curated record. Lineage: Eukaryota; Metazoa; Chordata; Mammalia; Carnivora; Hyaenidae. The transcript has a single exon.